UACGUAGGGGGCAAGCGUUGUCCGGAUUUACUGGGCGUAAAGCGCGCGUAGGCGGAACGUUAAGUCCGGUCUGAAAGCCCCCGGCUCCAACCGGGGAGGGUGGCUGGAAACUGGCGUUCUUGAGGGCGAGAGAGGAGGGUGGAAUUCCUGGUGUAGCGGUGAAAUGCGUAGAGAUCAGGAGGAACACCCGUGGCGAAGGCGGCCCUCUGGCUCGACCCUGACGCUGAGGCGCGAAAGCGUGGGGAGCGAACGGG
This 254-nucleotide ribosomal RNA is filed under the name uncultured bacterium. RNAcentral's name for it is "partial 16S ribosomal RNA". It matches the Rfam family "Bacterial small subunit ribosomal RNA", at positions 524 to 776 of the family's 1533-position model. The record is from RNAcentral.